UUUAUUGGAGAGUUUGAUCCUGGCUCAGGAUGAACGCUGGCGGCGUGCCUAAUACAUGCAAGUCGAGCGAAUGGAUUGAGAGCUUGCUCUCAAGAAGUUAGCGGCGGACGGGUGAGUAACACGUAGGUAACCUGCCCAUAAGACUGGGAUAACUCCGGGAAACCGGGGCUAAUACCGGAUAAUAUUUUGAACUGCAUGGUUCGAAAUUGAAAGGCGGCUUCGGCUGUCACUUAUGGAUGGACCCGCGUCGCAUUAGCUAGUUGGUGAGGUAACGGCUCACCAAGGCAACGAUGCGUAGCCGACCUGAGAGGGUGAUCGGCCACACUGGGACUGAGACACGGCCCAGACUCCUACGGGAGGCAGCAGUAGGGAAUCUUCCGCAAUGGACGAAAGUCUGACGGAGCAACGCCGCGUGAGUGAUGAAGGCUUUCGGGUCGUAAAACUCUGUUGUUAGGGAAGAACAAGUGCUAGUUGAAUAAGCUGGCACCUUGACGGUACCUAACCAGAAAGCCACGGCUAACUACGUGCCAGCAGCCGCGGUAAUACGUAGGUGGCAAGCGUUAUCCGGAAUUAUUGGGCGUAAAGCGCGCGCAGGUGGUUUCUUAAGUCUGAUGUGAAAGCCCACGGCUCAACCGUGGAGGGUCAUUG
This 648-nucleotide ribosomal RNA is filed under the name Bacillus cereus. Its description in RNAcentral is "bacterial SSU rRNA". It matches the Rfam family "Bacterial small subunit ribosomal RNA", at positions 1 to 628 of the family's 1533-position model. Lineage: Bacteria; Bacillati; Bacillota; Bacilli; Caryophanales; Bacillaceae. The record is from RNAcentral.